GUGCUCACUUCGGCAGCACAGAUACUAAAAUUGGAACGAUACAGAGAUUAGCAUGGCCCCUGUGCAAGGAUGACGCGCAAUUCGUGAAGUGGUCCAUACUUUU
Small nuclear RNA from Onychomys torridus (southern grasshopper mouse), 103 nucleotides. The record is from RefSeq and is a predicted model, not a curated record. NCBI's taxonomy places the organism in Eukaryota, Metazoa, Chordata, Mammalia, Rodentia, Cricetidae.